CAAAAGGAAGACGUCAUGAAGAAACAAACAAUAGAAUGUUAAAAACAACUAGAUAAAAAGUUUACUUCAUCUACGCGUUUUUAAAGUAGCCAACACAAAGAGGGAAGGAUAAGUAGAGUAUUGAGUGCCAAAGAAAUCUUAGCGGCGGACGGGUGAGUAACACGUGGGCAACCUGCCUUGAAGUGGGGGAUAACACCGGGAAAUCGGUGCUAAUACCGCAUAACAUACACAAACUGCAUGGUAAGUGUAUCAAAGGAGCAAUCCGCUUUAAGAUGGGCCCGCGGCUGAUUAGCUAGUUGGUAAGGUAACGGCUUACCAAGGCGACGAUCAGUAGCCGACCUGAGAGGGUGACCGGCCACACUGGAACUGAGACACGGUCCAGACUCCUACGGGAGGCAGCAGUGGGGAAUAUUGCGCAAUGGGGGGAACCCUGACGCAGCAACGCCGCGUGGAGGAAGAAGGUCUUCGGAUUGUAAACUCCUGUCUUCUGGGACGAAUAAUGACGGUACCAGAGGAGGAAGCCACGGCUAACUACGUG
RNAcentral lists this ribosomal RNA (538 nucleotides) under uncultured bacterium. Its description in RNAcentral is "bacterial SSU rRNA". It matches the Rfam family "Bacterial small subunit ribosomal RNA", at positions 71 to 507 of the family's 1533-position model. The record is from RNAcentral.